RNAcentral lists this ribosomal RNA (1743 nucleotides) under Phacus paraorbicularis. RNAcentral describes it as "bacterial LSU rRNA". It matches the Rfam family "Bacterial large subunit ribosomal RNA", at positions 1014 to 2771 of the family's 2925-position model. The record is from RNAcentral. Lineage: Eukaryota; Euglenozoa; Euglenophyceae; Euglenales; Phacaceae.
AGAGGGUAAUAGCCCAGAUCACCAGAUAAGGCCCCCAAAUAACUACUAAGUGAUAAAGGAUGUAAAAACGCAUAGACGACCAGGAGGUUUGCUUAGAAGCAGCCAUCUUCCUUUAAAAAUUGCGUAAUAGCUUACUGGUUAAGUGUUUUUGCGCCAAUAAUGAACGGGGCUAAGUAGUUUGCCGAAGCUGUGAGUUAAUUACGGUAGGAGAGCGUUCUGUUUAGGCUGAAGCAGUAGUGUAAAUAGCUGUGGACUAUUCAGAAGUGAGAAUGUCGGCUUAAGUAACGAAAACAUUGGUGGGAAUCCAAUGCUCCGAAAACCUAAGGUUUCCUUCUCAAGGUUCGUCCAAGAAGGGUUAGUCAGAUUCUAAGAUGAAGUCUAGUGACUUAUUCGAUGAUAAACAGGUUAAUAUUCCUGUACUACAUUGUGGAAUCAAUUAAGGAAGACAAAGUAAGUUAGGUUUGCCAAAGAAUGGUUGUUUUGGUUUAAACUUUCAAGGCGUAGACGGGUAUUAGGCAAAAAAUACUUUGAGCUGAGAAGUGAAAUUAAGGUACUACGGUACUGAAAUGGCUGAUAUUAUGCUUUCUAGAAAAUCCCUUGCAAUGGCAUUUCCGUGUAGCUGUACCGUAAACUGACACAGGUGGGUAGGUAGAAAAUACUAAGGAGAGCGAGUUAAAUCUUUUUAAGGAACUCGGCAAAUUAGCCUUGUAACUUCGGGAGAAAAGGUGCCUUAUUAAAAGUAAGGUUGCAGUGAAUUGUUCCAGGCGACUGCUUACCAAAAGCACAGGUCUCCGCUAAGUUGUAAAACGAUGUAUGGGGGCUGAUGCCUGCCCAGUGCUGGAAGGUAAAAGAAACUUGUUAGUGCUUUGCAUAAAGCUAGUGACUGAAGCCCCAGUAAACGGCGGUGAUAACUAUAAUCAUUUUAAAGUAGCGAAAUUCCUUGUCGGGUAAGUUCCGACCUGCACGAAAGGCAUAACGAUCUGGAAACUGUCUCAAAAAGAUUCUCGGUGAAAUAGAAUUAACUGUGAAGAUGCGGUUAACUUGCACUUGGACAGAAAGACCCUAUGAAGCUUUACUGUAAUCUGGUAUUGAUUUCGGACUUUUUUUGCGCAGUAUAGGUGGGAGGCAUUGAAGCAUUCUUUCGGGAAAUGUAGAGCCAAAAAUGAGAUACCACUCUGAAAAAGUUAGAGAUCUAAAGAUAUUCCUUCAAGAGGAUAUUUGACAGUUCCAGACGGGCAGUUUUACUGGGGCGGUAGCCUCCUAAAAAGUAACGGAGGCGUACAAAGGUUUUCUCAAACAGGCCGGAAAUUUGUUGUAGAGUGUAAAGGCAUAAGAAAGCUUAACUGUAAGACUCAUAAGUCAAGCAGGGACGAAAGUCGGUCUUAGUGAUCCGGCAGUUCCGAAUGUGAGGGCUGUCGCAUAACAGAUAAAAGUUACUCUAGGGAUAACAGGCUGAUCUCCUCCAAGAGUUCACAUCGACGAGGAGGUUUGGCACCUCGAUGUCGGCUCAUCGCAUCCUGGGGCAGUAGUAUGUCCCAAGGGUUGGGCUGUUCGCCCAUUAAAGCGGUACGUGAGCUGGGUUCAGAACGUCGAGAGACAGUUCGGUCCAUAUCCGGUGCAAGCGUAGGAGUAUUGAAAGGACCUUUUUCUAGUACGAGAGGACCGAAAAAGACACACCUCUGGUGUACCAGUUCUUAUGCCAAUAGGAUAUGCUGGGUAGUCAAGUGUGAAGUGGAUAACUGC